RNAcentral lists this small RNA (632 nucleotides) under Pan troglodytes (chimpanzee). Its description in RNAcentral is "processed transcript". The record is from RNAcentral. Lineage: Eukaryota; Metazoa; Chordata; Mammalia; Primates; Hominidae.
CGCCCCGCCCCGUCCCCGGGCGUCUCCAUUUUGGUCUCAGGUGUGGACUCGGCAAGAACCAGCGCAAGAGGGAAGCGGAGUUAUAGCUACCCCGGCCGCGGAGCCGGCUCACUGCACUACCCCCGCCCCCUUCUUUCCUCCAGACGCCGAAGUCGCGGGCGCUCAUGGCGGGCCUGGAGGUACUGUUCGCAUCGGCAGCGCCGGCCAUCACCUGCACGCAGGACGCGCUCGUCUGCUUCUUGCAUUGGGAAGUGGUGACACACGGCUACUACGGCUUGGGUGUCGGUGACCAGCCGGGUCCCAAUGAUAAGAAGUCAGAACUGCUGCCAGCUGGGUGGAACAACAAUAAAGACCUGUAUGUCCUCCGGUAUGAGUAUAAGGAUGGGUCCAGAAAGCUCCUUGUGAAAGCCAUCACCGUGGAGAGCAGCAUGAUCCUCAAUGUGCUGGACCUACAAGAACAGUGAGGAGCUUCGGUCUCGUAUUGUGUCUGGAAUCAUCACACCUAUCCAUGAGCAGUGGGAAAAGGCUAAUGUAAGCAGUCCCCACCGGGAGUUCCCCCCUGCUACCGCCAGAGAGGUGGACCCACUCCGGAUUCCUCCACACCACCCACACACCAGUCGGCAGCCUCCCUG